UGUUGGAUUAGCUGAAGCAUUUUCUGUGGUUUCCAACUGGGCCAUGGGAUGUCCUUUUUCUGUAAAGAUGUUGCUACUAACCCUUCAGAGUAUGUACUCUGGACUUCUUCCAGAACAGGGGAUCAGGAAUGCAAAAAUCAGAGUGAUGGCCAACCCAUGAUCCUUCUGUAGACUCUAAGAGAAAACCUGGAGCUUAUGCAUGGACUUCUUGCACGGGACAUGUCAGCACAAGAAGACCUC
Long non-coding RNA from Bubalus bubalis (water buffalo), 240 nucleotides. RefSeq lists it as uncharacterized. The transcript is spliced from 3 exons. The record is from RefSeq and is a predicted model, not a curated record. Lineage: Eukaryota; Metazoa; Chordata; Mammalia; Artiodactyla; Bovidae.